RNAcentral lists this ribosomal RNA (254 nucleotides) under uncultured bacterium. Its description in RNAcentral is "partial 16S ribosomal RNA". It matches the Rfam family "Bacterial small subunit ribosomal RNA", at positions 524 to 776 of the family's 1533-position model. The record is from RNAcentral.
UACGUAGGGGGCAAGCGUUGUCCGGAUUUAUUGGGCGUAAAGAGCUCGUAGGUGGUUCGGUAAGUCGGAUGUGAAAUCUCCAGGCUCAACCUGGAGGGGUCAUUCGAUACUGCCGUGACUAGAGUUCGGUAGGGGAGUGUGGAAUUCCUGGUGGAGCGGUGAAAUGCGCAGAUAUCAGGAGGAACACCCGUAGCGAAGGCGGCACUCUGGGCCGAUCCUGACACUGAGGAGCGAAAGCGUGGGGAGCGAACAGG